GUCACAUCGAAAUGUAACUAUAUCACAUCUCUGUUUCACAUGAGUGGACAAUACACAACAUGGCUGUUUCAGCAGCCGAGGGUUUAUGAGCAAGCACUGUUGUUGCAAGACUCAGUUUGACCACAAGGUGGCAGAGUGAGCUAGUGGUUACUAGUGCCCUAUAUGUGGAGAGUAUCGCCAACUGUGUUUGGAAUGUUCAGAGCAGUUCUGCCAAGGAUUGGUUCAGAGGUGGUCACGUGUUUUAUGGACGCCAUUUUUACUACCAAAAGUACUUUUGACUAGAAUGCUUUCUAAUGCUUUCAGAUGGCAGUGUUUGAGUAUCGUUGGCAUUAAGUCUUAAUAUCUUCACCAUACAGCGACCCAUUUUCUCACUGGACACUUUUCUGAUAACGUUAACAUUAUAACGUUUACGUCAUAAGCAUUUUUAGUGAUAAGACUCGUUAAGACAUUUGCAGCACGGAUUUUGUUUCUAACUACCCGGAGAGAUGCCACUUCUGGAGGAGCAGCGAAUACAUCAUACAUCGUUCGUCUUAACCUUGUCUAAAAGGAAAACGGUUGGAACAACUCUGAUGUAGGUAGAGAAGAGUCAGUGGCUGGUGAAGUAAGAGGAUACAUCUGUCUGCUGAUUCAAGGUCCCUGCCCCGUCGCCUCAACAUCCUCAAGAUCCUGUAGGCUACUGCUGCUGCUCCUUGCUUCAGCACCUUUCCCCUGAUGCCUGACACCCCUCAUCACCAAAUCAGCCCAGUCAACAUGGACCCAACAUGGACCCAAGUCUCCACGACAGUGUGCACAAUACACUAUACACAGACAGGGACGAGAACAAAGGUACAAUUGGUCUGAGGGGAGGACACCGCAGACAGCUGAUCAACUCCAUGUCAUCUAAUCAGGCCAUGUAAAGGACCAUGAAGGGAUGGACUUGGUGGAGGACAACAAUGUGACACCCGAAAAGAGUACAUGGAGAUCUCUCAUCCUCAUCCCUCAUGCUUAUAUUGCAUUUCAUAUAGGCCUAGAUUCUGAUGGUCUUGUAAAUGUUUGUUACACAAGUCAGAAAUUGUUGUCUUUGAUUAUUUAAUUUGAUUAUAAUAAAUGGAAAUAUAUUUUAUUGAAAAAUA
Molecule: long non-coding RNA, 1112 nt
Organism: Sardina pilchardus (European sardine)
Lineage: Eukaryota; Metazoa; Chordata; Actinopteri; Clupeiformes; Clupeidae
Exons: 3
Source: RefSeq, a predicted model, not a curated record